RNAcentral lists this ribosomal RNA (374 nucleotides) under uncultured organism. RNAcentral describes it as "bacterial SSU rRNA". It matches the Rfam family "Bacterial small subunit ribosomal RNA", at positions 526 to 896 of the family's 1533-position model. The record is from RNAcentral.
CGGGGGGAGCAAGCGUUGUUCGGAUUUACUGGGCGUAAAGGGCGCGUAGGCGGCCACCGCAAGUCGACUGUGAAAUCUCCGGGCUUAACCCGGAACGGUCAGCCGAUACUGCGGGGCUAGAGUGCAGAAGGGGCAACUGGAAUUCUCGGUGUGGCGGUGAAAUGCGUAGAUAUCGAGAGGAACACCUGCGGCGAAGGCGGGUUGCUGGGCUGACACUGACGCUGAUGCGCGAAAGCUAGGGGAGCGAACGGGAUUAGAUACCCCGGUAGUCCUAGCCUUAAACGAUGAAUGCUUGGUGUCUGGGGUUCUAUAGUCCCCGGGUGCCGUCGCUAACGCUUUAAGCAUUCCGCCUGGGGAGUACGGUCGCAAGACUG